CCURACCUAGCGGCGGACGGGUGAGUAAUGCUUAGGAAUCUGCCUAUUAGUGGGGGACAACAUCUCGAAAGGGAUGCUAAUACCGCAUACGUCCUAYGGGAGAAAGCAGGGGACCUUCGGGCCUUGCGCUAAUAGAUGAGCCUAAGUCGGAUUAGCUAGUUGGUGGGGUAAAGGCCUACCAAGGCGACGAUCUGUAGCGGGUCUGAGAGGAUGAUCCGCCACACCUGGGACUGAGACACGGCCCAGACGUCCUACGGGAGGGCAGCAGUGGGGAAUAUUGGACAAUGGGCGGAAGCCUGAUCCAGCCAUGCCCGCGUGUGUGAAGAAGGCCUUUUGGUUGUAAAGCACUAUUAAGCGAGGAGGGAGGCUACUGGUAUUAAUACUACCGGGAUAGUGGACGUUACUCGCAGAAUAAGCAACCGGCUUAACUCUGUGCCCAGCAGCCGACGGUAAAUACAGAGGGUGCGAGCGUUAAUCCGAAUUUAACUGGGCGUAAAGGCGUGCGUAGGCGGCUUUUUAAGUCGGAAUGUGAAAUCCCUGAGCUUAACUUAAGGAAUUUGCAUUCGAUACUGGGAGGCUAGAGUAUGGGAGAGGAUGGUAGAAUUCCAGGUGUAGCGGUGAAAUGCGUAGAGAUCUGGAGGAAUACCGAUGGCGAAGGCAGCCAUCUGGCCUAAUACUGACGCUGAGGUACGAAAGCAUGGGGAGCAAACAGGAUUAGAUACCCUGGUAGUCCAUGCCGUAAACGAUGUCUACUAGCCGUUGGGGCCUUUGAGGCUUUAGUGGCGCAGCUAACGCGAUAAGUAGACCGCCUGGGGAGUACGGUCGCAAGACUAAAACUCAAAUGAAUUGACGGGGGCCCGCACAAGCGGUGGAGCAUGUGGUUUAAUUCGAUGCAACGCGAAGAACCUUACCUGGUCUUGACAUACAGAGAACUUUCCAGAGAUGGAUUGGUGCCUUCGGGAACUCUGAUACAGGUGCUGCAUGGCUGUCGUCAGCUCGUGUCGUGAGAUGUUGGGUUAAGUCCCGCAACGAGCGCAACCCUUUUCCUUACUUGCCAUCGGGUCAUGCCGGGAACUUUAAGGAUACUGCCAGUGACAAACUGGAGGAAGGCGGGGACGACGUCAAGUCAUCAUGGCCCUUACGACCAGGGCUACACACGUGCUACAAUGGUCGGUACAAAGGGUUGCUACCUAGCGAUAGGAUGCUAAUCUCAAAAAGCCGAUCGUAGUCCGGAUUGGAGUCUGCAACUCGACUCCAUGAAGUCGGAAUCGCUAGUAAUCGCGGAUCAGAAUGC
RNAcentral lists this ribosomal RNA (1294 nucleotides) under Acinetobacter sp. RNAcentral's name for it is "bacterial SSU rRNA". The record is from RNAcentral. Lineage: Bacteria; Pseudomonadati; Pseudomonadota; Gammaproteobacteria; Moraxellales; Moraxellaceae.